UACGGGGGGAGCAAGGCGUUGUUCGGAUUUACUGGGCGUAAAGGGCGCGUAGGCGGCCACCGCAAGUCGACUGUGAAAUCUCCGGGCUUAACCCGGAAAGGUCAGCCGAUACUGCGGGGCUAGAGUGGCAGAAGGGGCAACUGGAAUUCGUCGGUGUAGCGGUGGAAAUGCGUAGAUAAUCGAGAGGAACACCUGCGGCGAAGG
This 204-nucleotide ribosomal RNA is filed under the name uncultured bacterium. Its description in RNAcentral is "partial 16S ribosomal RNA". It matches the Rfam family "Bacterial small subunit ribosomal RNA", at positions 524 to 721 of the family's 1533-position model. The record is from RNAcentral.